CAGAAAUUGACAAUGCUGGUAACUCCAUCUUGGAUUUCCUAACCUCUAGAAUGAGAUUUUACAACUCUUCAUCCGACAAAAAAAGGAUCGCCUUGAGCCAGAAUACACAUGAGUCCUUCCACUGUGGAAAUUCCUGUGAACUUGCAAACCAGCUUUCAUAGCAGGAGGAGGCAAGAGAACAGGUGAUGCCACAAGAUCUAAUUAAAGGGUAGCUGUCAACUAGGUGCAUGCAAGCCCUUUGAGGUGCAUGUGAACCCUUUGAUCCUACUACAGUGCCCUUCUGCGUGUCCCCUCGCUCUAUAAAAUCUGUGGACUAAGGUCUGGACUUUGUGGAGAAUAGCUAUGCAGCUGCCAUGGAUCGUCUUCUGCCCGAUCUCCUCUGUGUCAGUCAGUUACCUGAAUAAAAUUCUGUGUAAACUCUA
This is a long non-coding RNA of Leptonychotes weddellii (Weddell seal), 422 nucleotides long. RefSeq lists it as uncharacterized. NCBI's taxonomy places the organism in Eukaryota, Metazoa, Chordata, Mammalia, Carnivora, Phocidae. The record is from RefSeq and is a predicted model, not a curated record.